CACUCACAUUAUAAUAUCUAUCUUAUCUUCAGUCUGAUGACAAGUUUGAGAAAUCCCUUGGAGAAUUUGGACUUUGCAACUGCUCAAGACAAGACAAGUGGACAGUUUUAAUAACCUUCCUGUGAAUAUUAUAAAGGCCUUCAGAAAGGAUCAUUAGCACUACUCCAGAGGUAACAACUAAGUACCUAUGGAUGCCUUGGAAGAUCUAAAGAAAAAUAAGACAAAGUUUCUGUCACUGAGCCACUUGAUAUAAAUUGGCUUUGCAGAAUCAGGUCAGGUGUGGAAGAGGGCUAUCUCAUGCUGCAGAUCCAAAGGUUCCAGUCAAAAGUCAAAUACCCAAAUAAAUAUAUGAAGAAAUGUUCACCAUCACUGGUCAUUCAAGAAAAGCAAAUUAAAACAGCAUUGAGAUUUCAUCUCACUCCAGAAAGAAUGGCUGCCAUCAAGAAAACAACUGUCAAAUGCCCAGAACUCAGAGUCCCAGUGAGUCUGUAUUAGGAGGCCAAAUGGAAGGCAGCACAUGGGCACCCAAAAUGAUGGCAAAGACUGGAGCUCCUCUGAAGAAACAGAAGAAAAACCCAGGGCACUGUUGCAGUUCAUUACACACUUGCUGCCCUCUCCGGAUGUGGAUUUCCCUGCAAGCACUUUGCACAACCCCCACCAGAUCUCUAAGGGUCUUGCUAUGCAAUUGCUACCCUUGGGCUUACUUUGUAGCCCAAAGGUCUCGAACUUGCAACAAUCCUCCUGCCUCAGCUUUCCAAGUGCUGAGUUACAGGCAUGAGCCACCACACCCAGUUUAGCAUGAGACUCCAAGGAGAGCUUGCUAAAAUUCUAAGGACCAGCUCUAGGCCAGCUCUUGUCUGGGAUGCCAGCAUUACCAUCAGCUCUACUGCCAAGCCUGUGUGGUGACCAGCAGAAAGACCAUUGAGUAAGCCUCCUCCAUGCUCUAAGACACUUAUUGGCUGAUGAGCUAGAUCAAAGAUUAAGAACAGCAUGAGGCAAGAACUCUGUUUUGAUGAACAUUAAAUAUCCAGUGCCUUAAUAUACUGCUUAUCAUAUAGAUGCUCAAUAAAUAUGUUCUACCUGAAUGAAUAGCUCUCUUGUCUAUGAAUUACACAUUUUUACUUGUAGAUUUGAAACUACCAAGUACAUGGUUGUUGCUCUUGUUAUAUUGUCUGUUUUUUCCUUUGGUCAUAAGAAUGAGAUCUAAUAGUGUAUUCAGGAAUACACAACAUAGUGAUUAAGUACAAGC
Molecule: long non-coding RNA, 1249 nt
Organism: Cavia porcellus (domestic guinea pig)
Lineage: Eukaryota; Metazoa; Chordata; Mammalia; Rodentia; Caviidae
Exons: 7
Source: RefSeq, a predicted model, not a curated record